CGGGGGGGUGGCUUGGCAGAAGGAUCACGCGUGGGGGACAGAGCUGGCGAGAGCCCGGGCUCCCUGCUCCGCCCGGCCUCCCGCUGGCUGCGGGCUCCCCAGGCUGGAGCGGACCGGACGGGGGCGAAGACCUGCCCGGCGAAGCCGUGGCGUCCCUCCAGCCUCGCGGUGCCGGAACGUAUCCGCCUCAACGGGGCGCACGGAUGACAGGUCCUGCCUCUCCCGGUCUCGUUCUCUCUUGGAUCUUUUUGCGGUCUGGGCUUGCUGUUCCUCCAAUCAGUAGUCAGGAAGCCCUUACCCCAAAAAGUAUUUGCGAGGGAUAAGGUCAGCGGGGAAGAAAGGCCGGGGGACCUGAGGCCGAAGGCGAGACUCAGAGCAGGCUCCUGAUGAAGAGAUUCGUCCCCCCAAGAGGAAGGAAAUCGAGUCAGGCUGGACUCCCCGCUUGUGAAGGCGAAGCUUGUGGUGGUGGAGGAAAGUGUCCAAGCAGGGACCCCGGAGCCCUCCAUGGAGUCACAGGCCAGGUAUGGUAACAGCGGGUGCUUCCUCCAAGCACCCCGAUACAUCCCGCUGCGGCCUUGCGGGAACACC
RNAcentral lists this long non-coding RNA (588 nucleotides) under Chrysemys picta bellii (western painted turtle). Its description in RNAcentral is "lncRNA (ENSCPBG00000018091.1)". The stretch from base 239 to 313 matches the Rfam family "mir-129 microRNA precursor family". The record is from RNAcentral. Lineage: Eukaryota; Metazoa; Chordata; Testudines; Emydidae.